CCUACGGGAGGCAGCAGUGGGGAAUUUUGCGCAAUGCUCGUAAGAGUGACGCAGCGACGCCGCGUGAAUGACGAAGGCCUUCGGGUCGUAAAGUUCUUUCGACAGGGAAGAAAAUGCCUAUAAGUAACUGUGUAUGUAUUGACGGUACCUGUAUAAGCAGCCCCGGCUAACUCCGUGCCAGCAGCCGCGGUAAUACGGAGGGGGCGGGCGUUGUUCGGAGUGACUGGGCGUAAAGAGCACGUAGGCGGUGUUGUAAGUCAUUAGUCAAAGACUAGAGCUCAACUUUAGUAAGGCUAGUGAUACUAUAAUACGAGAGUAUCAGAGAGGAUUGCAGAAUGCCUGGUGUAGCGGUGAAAUGCGUGGAUAGCAGGAGGAAUACCGUUAGCGAAGGCGGCAAUCUGGCUGGAAACUGACGCUGAGGUGCGAAAGCGUGGGUAGCAAACAGGAUUAGAUACCCGAGUAGUC
This 465-nucleotide ribosomal RNA is filed under the name uncultured bacterium. RNAcentral's name for it is "partial 16S ribosomal RNA". It matches the Rfam family "Bacterial small subunit ribosomal RNA", at positions 338 to 795 of the family's 1533-position model. The record is from RNAcentral.